Molecule: ribosomal RNA, 460 nt
Filed under: uncultured bacterium
Lineage: Bacteria
Description: partial 16S ribosomal RNA
Rfam family: Bacterial small subunit ribosomal RNA
Source: RNAcentral
CCUACGGGUGGUAGCAGUGAGGAAUAUUGGUCAAUGGCCGAGAGGCUGAACCAGCCAAGUCGCGUGAGGGAAGACGGCCCUACGGGUUGUAAACCUCUUUUGUCGGGGAGCAAAGCGAGUCACGUGUGACUCAUUGAGAGUACCCGAAGACAAAGCAUCGGCUAACUCCGUGCCAGCAGCCGCGGUAAUACGGAAGGUCCGGGCGUUAUCCGGCUUUAUUGGGUUUAAAGGGAGCGUAGGACGCAUGUCAAACGUGCUGUGAAAUGUCCGGGCUCAACUUCGGAAUUGCCUCUGAUACUGUUCGGCUAGAGAGUAGUUGCGGUAGGCGGAAUGUAUGGUGUAGCGGUGAAAUGCUUAGAGAUCAUACAGAACACCGAUUGCGAAGGCAGCUUACCAAGCUACUUCUGACGUUGAGGCACGAAAGCGUGGGGAGCAAACAGGAUUAGAUACCCUUGUAGUC